UCUAAGUAUAAGCAAUUAUACAGCGAAACUGCGAAUGGCUCAUUAUAUAAGUUAUCGUUUAUUUGAUAGUGCCUUACUACUUGGAUAACCGUGGUAAUUCUAGAGCUAAUACAUGCUGAAAGCCCCGACUCACGGAGGGGCGUAUUUAUUAGAUUAAAAACCAAUGCCCUUCGGGGCUCCUUGGUGAUUCAUGAUAACUUCUCGAAUCGCACGGCCUUGCGCCGGCGAUGGUUCAUUCAAAUUUCUUCCCUAUCAACUUUCGAUGUUUGGGUAGUGGCCAAACAUGGUGGCAACGGGUAACGGAGGGUUAGGGCUCGACCCCGGAGAAGGAGCCUGAGAAACGGCUCCUACAUCCAAGGAAGGCAGCAGGCGCGCAAAUUACCCAAUCCCGACUCGGGGAGGUAGUGACAAUAAAUACUGAUGCAGGGCUCUUUAGGGUCUUGCAAUUGGAAUGAGUACAAUUUAAAUCCCUUAACGAGGAACAAUUGGAGGGCAAGUCUGGUGCCAGCAGCCGCGGUAACUCCAGCUCCAAUAGCGUAUAUUAAAGUUGUUGUGGUUAAAAAGCUCGUAGUUGAACCUUGGGCCUGGCCGUCCGGUCCGCCUCACCGCGUGCACUGGCACGGCCGGGCCUUCCCACCGCGGAAUCGCAUGCCCUUUACUGGGCGUGUCGGGGAAGCGGUACUUUUACUGUGAAAAAAUUAGAGUGCUCUAAGCAGGCCUAUGCUCGAAUACAUUAGCAUGGAAUAAUAGAAUAGGACAGGCGUUCUAUUUUGUUGGUUUCUAGGACGUCUGUAAUGAUUAACAGAAACAAUCGGGGGCGUCAGUAUUGCAUCGUCAGAGGUGAAAUUCUUAGAUCGACGCAAGACUAACUACUGCGAAAGCAUUCGCCAAGGGUGUUUUCAUUAAUCAGGAACGAAAGUUAGGGGAUCGAAGACGAUCAGAUACCGUCGUAGUCUUAACCAUAAACUAUGCCGACUAGGGAUCGGGCGGUGUUAAUUUUUGACCCGCUCGGCACCUUACGAGAAAUCUUAAGUGCUUGGGCUCCAGGGGGAGUAUGGUCGCA
This 1063-nucleotide ribosomal RNA is filed under the name Microthecium zobelii. RNAcentral describes it as "SSU rRNA". It matches the Rfam family "Eukaryotic small subunit ribosomal RNA", at positions 58 to 1133 of the family's 1831-position model. The record is from RNAcentral. Lineage: Eukaryota; Fungi; Ascomycota; Sordariomycetes; Coronophorales; Ceratostomataceae.